RNAcentral lists this ribosomal RNA (206 nucleotides) under uncultured Veillonellaceae bacterium. Its description in RNAcentral is "partial 16S ribosomal RNA". It matches the Rfam family "Bacterial small subunit ribosomal RNA", at positions 568 to 774 of the family's 1533-position model. The record is from RNAcentral. Lineage: Bacteria; Bacillati; Bacillota; Negativicutes; Veillonellales; Veillonellaceae.
CAUGUAGGUGGAUACUUAAGUCUGUUGUGAAAAUGCGGGGCUCAACCCCGUAUUGCGAUGGAAACUGGGUGUCUUGAGUGCAGGAGAGGAAAGGGGAAUUCCCAGUGUAGCGGUGAAAUGCGUAGAUAUUGGGAGGAACACCAGUGGCGAAGGCGCCUUUCUGGACUGUGUCUGACACUGAGAUGCGAGAGCUAGGGGAGCGAACG